RNAcentral lists this long non-coding RNA (278 nucleotides) under Elaeis guineensis (African oil palm). Its description in RNAcentral is "long non-coding RNA (EGUI_LNC048082)". Lineage: Eukaryota; Viridiplantae; Streptophyta; Magnoliopsida; Arecales; Arecaceae. The record is from RNAcentral.
CAUGCCUAAGGGCUUCUCCCUCUUCUUUUUUUUCUCCUGAAAUUUAGAAUUUCAGCAAAAGAGAAUCUCAAGGAAGCUGUUGUCUUGUUGUAGUUCUCAAGUAGCUAAGAAUCUGCUACCAUCAAGCAAAGAUUUUGCAAGAGAGCUAGCACCUCGGGGAACCAAGAAGUUGCUGAUUGUUUUCAUCUCUGUGUGGAUAUUUGUAGAGGCCAGGCACUUACGUGGCUACAAGAAAAGGAACCAAUCCAGGUUCUACAGUUGUGGAGUUCAUCUACCCA